This is an RNA transcript of Carassius gibelio (silver crucian carp), 2669 nucleotides long. It is a transcript of the gene named sodium-independent sulfate anion transporter, with no coding region annotated. Lineage: Eukaryota; Metazoa; Chordata; Actinopteri; Cypriniformes; Cyprinidae. The transcript is spliced from 16 exons. The record is from RefSeq and is a predicted model, not a curated record.
CGUCGCGCGUCGCUGCUCACGUCACAAAAGGGCUGUUCAACAACGUCACUCUGAUUGCACAAAUGUUUCAUUGUAUCUUUAUGUUUUGAUGUAAAUAAAAAGAUUACUGAAGCGAAAUGUCUGAACUCCGAUGAAACACGAGGCUCAAAGGCUUCUCUGAGGUUUGAUCUUGAACUUGAUUUCAUAUUGUGCCUCUUAUCAUUGAUCUCGACUUUCAGCUUGGUUUGUAAACACGGGUGUGCCACUCAGAUUCACAUUUGAACAAGCGAUUUCACAAUCAGCAGUGUUUGAAUCUCGUGAUCAUGUGGUCUUGAAGCACUACGGCUCUAUCUGAUGGUGUUUUGGUGGACCUGAAGGUCUUCUGAUGGAGCGGGUGACGGGUAUCCGCUGGUAUGCCGCCCUGCGCUCUGGUUUUCCCAUACUCACCUGGCUCCCCAGGUAUAACCUGACCUGGCUGAAGAUGGACCUGAUCGCCGGUCUGACGGUGGGUUUGACAGCGGUUCCCCAGGCCCUGGCCUAUGCAGAAGUGGCUGGUUUACCUGUGCAGUACGGCUUGUAUUCUGCGUUUAUGGGUGGUUUCAUCUACUGUGUGUUUGGCACAUCUAAAGACAUCACGCUGGGCCCGACGGCCAUCAUGUCUCUGCUGUGUGCGGAGUAUAUCGGUGGAGAUCCUGUGUUUGCGGUGGUGCUCACACUGCUGUGCGGCAUCAUCCAGGCGGGAAUGGCUCUACUGAGGCUGGGUUUCCUCUUGGACUUCAUCUCACAUCCAGUGAUUAAAGGCUUCACGUGUGCGGCGGCCGUCACCAUCGGCUUCGGCCAGCUCAAGAAUAUUCUGGGUCUGAAGGAGAUCCCGCAGCAGUUCUUCUUACAGGUUUACUACACCUUCCACAAGAUCCCCGAGGCCCGAGUUGGAGAUGUGAUUCUGGGUCUGUGCUGUCUGAUCUUCCUGGUCACGUUGACGCUGAUGAAGAACUCUCUGGGUUCGUCUGAAGACGAGGCUCCUCUCCUCGUCCGAUCUGCCCGGAGGCUGGUGUGGAGUUUAGCCACUAUCCGGAACGCUCUGGUCGUCGUCGUAGCGACGGGUGUUGCGUAUUCCGCUGAGGUCACAGGUCACCAUUGCUUCAGUCUCACUGGAAAAACCGCCCAAGGUCUGCCUCCGUUCAAAGCCCCGCCCCUUUCAGAAACAGUAGCCAAUGGCAUGGUGAUUACUUUCAGCGACAUUGUACAGGACUUGGGCGGCGGUCUGGCUGUCAUUCCUUUAAUGGGCGUCUUAGAGAGCAUCGCUAUUGCAAAGGCUUUCAGCAGCAAGAAUAACUACCGGAUCGAUGCCAACCAAGAGCUCUUUGCCAUCGGUCUCACAAACAUCAUGGGCUCGUUCGUGUCGGCGUAUCCCGUCACGGGAAGCUUCGGAAGAACCGCUGUGAACUCUCAAACCGGAGUGUGUUCACCUGCUGGAGGGAUCGUCACAGGUGUUAUAGUGCUGCUGUCGCUGGCGUUCCUCAUGCCGCUCUUCUUCUACAUCCCUAAAGCGUCCCUGGCGGCCGUCAUCAUCUGCGCCGUCAGUCCCAUGAUAGACUUCAGAGUGCCAGUCCAGCUCUGGAGAGUCAAGAAUCUGGCUGUUUCCCUCAGGACUCGAUCUGCUGCCCUUCUUGGUGACGUUUGGGGUCAGUUUCUGGGAGGUGCAGUAUGGCAUUGUGGGAGGUGUUGUUGUUUCUGGUUUCAUGCUGCUGUACGUCGUGGCCAGACCCAAAGUGAAAGUUUGUGUCUGUGUCCAGGUGUCGGAUCACGGCGUGCUGCUUCUGGAGCUGGACAGUGGGCUGAACUUCCCCGUGACGGAGCAUCUGAGCAGACUCGUGUACAAACACGCGCUUCAUGUGUCUCCUCCGCGCUGUCUGCUUCUGGACUGUGCUCACGUCAGCUCUAUAGACUUCACUGUCGUCCAUGAACUGACUGAACUGCUCAAACAGUUUGAGCUGAGGGGUGUAUCAAUGAUCUUCACUGGACUCAAGCCGUCAGUACUGAAGGUGUUGUUGUCGGCUGAUCUUCCUGGUUUCAGACAUACAGACAGAGUAGACCAGGCUUUGCAGCUUCUGACCAGUAUUAAUCACUAACAGCCAAUCACAAACAAGAACAGAUUGUGUGGCUUUCAGCCAAUCAGCAUCUGGAAACUUCAAACCCUCUAAUGAUUGGUCACUUGAAAAGUUCUGCGCACACCUUCGACCAAUCAGCACUCAGGAAGAGAGACUCUGAUAAAAACUGAUGGAGAGCAAAGUUACAUGAUGUAUGUGUACAUGACGACCAAAUAAUGCUUUUGACUGUGUUUUUUGUAUUCUGUUUUAAACUCCGAAUCUCAGGUGAGAUGAUGUCUUUUUAUGAACAUGCAUUUCUUCUUGACACUAGAAAGAGUCAAAUCUUUAGUUUUUUAGGGUUAAAAAGCACUACCAAUCUGACAGGUCUCACAAAGCCUAAAAUAUAUUGCAUUACUCAUGAUAAUUUCUCUGUAGUUUACAGUAGUACUUUUAUAUGUGUAGUGUGUUUACAUUAUUAUUAUUAUCUUUUUUUUGAUGAAACUAAAUUUCAUUAGGACACAGAUGUCUGCACUCUUUUGGACCGUCAAAGACGAAACUGAAAUGUCUCUUUUGGUAUUAAACUGAUAUGAUUCACAAUUG